GUGAGCUUGGUGCAGUGGUAAAACCUCUUGUUUACACACAAAAGAUCCUAGGUUCGAUACCUGUUUAUUACA
RNAcentral lists this transfer RNA (72 nucleotides) under Helianthus annuus (common sunflower). RNAcentral's name for it is "tRNA HanXRQr2_Chr09g0413171". The record is from RNAcentral. Lineage: Eukaryota; Viridiplantae; Streptophyta; Magnoliopsida; Asterales; Asteraceae.